This is a long non-coding RNA of Brachypodium distachyon (stiff brome), 985 nucleotides long. RefSeq lists it as uncharacterized. The record is from RefSeq and is a predicted model, not a curated record. The transcript has 3 exons. Lineage: Eukaryota; Viridiplantae; Streptophyta; Magnoliopsida; Poales; Poaceae.
GUCAUCGGAUCAUAAGUAUCUCUCCACUCGAGCGACACCAGUUGAGGGGCUGCGAUGUCGGCGACCGGCUGACUCGUGAAAUCGAAGCUGUGGGACACCGUUAACUUUCGGAGCGCGGGAGCCGUGACAGCCAGCUGCUGCAGGGACGGACACCGUGGCUUCACCGAGCGGGCAAGGGCCGUGGGGCAGCCGGACGCCUUCCAGGUGGGAAUCGUUGAGCCGGGCGAACACGCCGGAAGGCGGCAUAGCGAGGCUGUGGAACCCUAGUUUCAGGAUGAGCCAGAUCUGGGUGGCUUUCUCGAAGCAGGGCAGCUCAAAGGCGCCGCCGAGGGUAACCGCGUCCCCCUCCUCCUGCUUCCGCGGCGGCGGCAUCUCGAAGAAGCUCAGGUCGCCGGCGAGGCGGCGGGCCGCGAUGGGGAGCCAGGCCCGCAGGGAGCACGCUGAUCCGGGCGGCGGCGGCAGCCGUGCCGAGGGUGCCGAAUAUGUGGAGGAGGACGUCGUCGGGCAGCGCGCUGAGGCGGUCAUCCCCUUCCUCGCCGGCGCCGGCGCCGGUGGGCCAGAGCUUGGCUCGCUUGGCGGCGGUUUCCACUCCUUCCUCGACGCGCGCCUCCAUUGAUGAGGAGUUGGAGUCUUUUCGUUUUCUUUUCACAAAACCGCUAGUUCCUGAGAAAUACAUCUUUUCGUUUUCUUUUCACUUAACCCGUAUUUUCGUUGAAUCUUACAUUUUUAUGUAUAAAGAUGGUUAAACAAGAAUUCAAAGGUCUGAAGAUGGCAAGGCAGACUAUCCUAGUGGUCGGUGGUGAUGUGGAAAAACCUGAAGCUGCUGCAGAACGUGUCAACAAGCAGCAGCAGUAGUUUCGUCUAAGAAGCCCGCGGCUGACCUGGAGAGGGACAGUCAGUUGGUUUUUCUUUAAAAUGAAGUGAACACAUUAUUGUGCUAGUACUGUAAUGUGGACGUACUACUCCUAUUUGACAUCGAAACUUA